GAAUAUUGGACAAUGGGCGAAAGCCUGAUCCAGCAAUGCCGCGUGAGUGAAGAAGGCCUUCGGGUUGUAAAGCUCUUUUACCCGGGAAGAUAAUGACUGUACCGGGAGAAUAAGCCCCGGCUAACUCCGUGCCAGCAGCCGCGGUAAUACGGAGGGGGCUAGCGUUGUUCGGAAUUACUGGGCGUAAAGCGCACGUAGGCGGCUUUACAAGUCAGGGGCGAAAGCCCGCGGCUCAACCGCGGAAUUGCCCUUGAGACUGUAUCGCUUGAACACGGGAGAGGUGAGUGGAAUUCCGAGUGUAGAGGUGAAAUUCGUAGAUAUUCGGAAGAACACCAGUGGCGAAGGCGGCUCACUGGACCGUAGUUGACGCUGAGGUGCGAAAGCGUGGGGAGCAAACAGG
RNAcentral lists this ribosomal RNA (400 nucleotides) under uncultured bacterium. RNAcentral's name for it is "bacterial SSU rRNA". It matches the Rfam family "Bacterial small subunit ribosomal RNA", at positions 359 to 776 of the family's 1533-position model. The record is from RNAcentral.